AAAAGCGAAUAAAGAGCGUAUGGUGGAUGCCUUGGCUCUGAGAGGCGAGGAAGGACGUGAUAAGCUGCGAUAAGCUGCGGGGAUUGGCACAUACAAAUUAAUCCGCAGAUUUCCGAAUGGGGGAACCUAUCAUAAAAUUUAUGAUAUUACUUUAUUAAGUAAAGCAAACCUAGAGAACUGAAACAUCUAAGUAUCUAGAGGAAGAGAAAACAAUAGUGAUUCUGUUAGUAGUGGCGAGCGAAAGCGGAACAGCCCAAACCAUUAUAGUCUAGGCUAUAAUGGGGUUAUAGGUCUACAAUAAAAAUUAUUUUUCUAUAGUAGAAUAUUUUGGAAAAAAUAAUCAUAGAAGGUGAUAAUCCUGUAUGCGAAAUGGGAAAAUAUAAUAAGUAGUAACCUGAAUAGGACGGGACACGGGAAAUCUUGUCUGAAUUUGCCGGGACCAUCCGGUAAGGCUAAAUACUACUCAGAGACCGAUAGUGAACUAGUACCGUGAGGGAAAGGUGAAAAGUACUUCGAAUAGAAGAGUGAAAUAGAUCCUGAAACCAUACGCUUACAAACUGUCGAAGCUUUUUUAUAAAGUGACGACGUGCCUUUUGCAUAAUGAACCUACGAGUUAAUUUUUCCGGCAAGGUUAAGUAGUUCAGCUAUGGAGCCGUAGCGAAAGCAAGUCUGAAUAGGGCGUAUAGUCGGAGGAAUUAGACGCGAAACCGAGUGAUCUAUCUAUGGGCAGGUUGAAGCUGUGGUAACACAUAGUGGAGGACCGAACCGGUUGACGUUGAAAAGUCUUCGGAUGACCUGUGGAUAGGGGUGAAAGGCCAAUCAAACUCGGAGAUAGCUCGUACUCCCCGAAAUGCAUUUAGGUGCAGCAUCGUGUUAAGUAAUACAGAGGUAGAGCUACUGAUUGGAUGAAGGGGUUUCAUCACCUACUAAUUCCUGACAAACUCCGAAUGCUGUUAUUAUGUUUCACGGUAGUGAGGGCAUGGGUGCUAAGGUCCAUGUCCAAGAGGGAAACAACCCAGAUCAUCAGUUAAGGCCCCUAAGUAUAUAUUAAGUUGAAAAAACGAAGUUCAGUUACUAAGACAGCUAGGAUGUUAGCUUGGAAGCAGCUAUUCAUUUAAAGAGUGCGUAACAGCUCACUAGUCAAGUGAUUGAGCAUGGAUAAUAAUCGGGCAUAAAAUAUAUCGCCGAAACUAUGAGAUUGAUUUAAUCUUAUGAAUCAAUCGGUAGGGGAGCAUUGUAAUAGCGCAGAAGUUAUAUUGUGAAAUAUAGUGGAGCUUUUACAAAAGAAAAUGUAGGUAUAAGUAACGAUAAUGCGGAUGAGAAAACCGCACACCGAAAAACUAAGGAUUCCUCAGCUAUGUUAAUCAGCUGAGGGUUAGUCGGGCCCUAAGAUGAAAUCGAAAGGUGUAAUCGAUGGAAAACCGGUUAAUAUUCCGGUACUUGCUUUUAUUGCGAUAGGGGGGACGAAGUAAUGAAACUGUCGCGUACGGACGGAUGUGUACGUUAAAGUAAUUAGGUAUAAAAUAUAAUUGGAAAAUCCGUAUAUUUUGCUGAUUUACGAUAGUACCAUGAACCUUCGGGUAAGUGGAUAGUGCAGGUAAAGGCUUCCAAGAAAAGCCUCUAAGCUUCAGAUAAAAGUAAUCCGUACCAAAACCGACACAGGUAGUUGAGGAGAGAAUCCUAAGGUGCUCGAGUGAUUCACGGCUAAGGAACUAGGCAAAAUGAACCUGUAACUUCGGGAGAAAGGUUGCCUUCUUUUCUUUUAAAGAAGGCCGCAGAAAAGAGAUCCAGGCGACUGUUUAUCAAAAACAUAGGACUCUGCUAAAUUGAAAAAUGAUGUAUAGGGUCUGACACCUGCCCAGUACUGGAAGGUUAAAGAAAAAGGUUAGCUUCGGCAAAGCUUUUAACUGAAGCCCCAGUAAACGGCGGCCGUAACUAUAACGGUCCUAAGGUAGCGAAAUUCCUUGUCGGGUAAGUUCCGACCUGCACGAAUGGUGUAACGAUCUGGAAACUGUCUCAGCCGUGAGCUCGGUGAAAUUGUAAUAUCGGUGAAGAUGCCGAUUACUCGCAAUGGGACGAAAAGACCCUGUGAACCUUUACUAUAGCUUCGUAUUGAUUUCGGUUAAAAAAUGUGUAGGAUAGGUGGGAAACUUUGAAGCAUUAUCGCUAGAUAAUGUGGAGUUGACCUUGAAAUACCACCCUUUUUUUAGUUGAAAUCUAACUCAAUUAAAAAAAUUGAGGACAUUGCGUGGUGGGUAGUUUGACUGGGGUGGUCGCCUCCAAAAAGGUAACGGAGGCUCCCAAAGGUACCCUCAACACGUUUGGUAAUCGUGUGUAGAGUGUAAUGGCAUAAGGGUGCUUGACUGUGAGACCUACAAGUCGAUCAGGUACGAAAGUAGGGCAUAGUGAUCCGGUGGUUCCGUAUGGAAGGGCCAUCGCUCAAAGGAUAAAAGGUACUCCGGGGAUAACAGGCUAGUCUCCCCCAAGAGCUCACAUCGACGGGGAGGUUCGGCACCUCGAUGUCGGCUCGUCACAUCCUGGGGCUGAAGAAGGUCCCAAGGGUUGGGCUGUUCGCCCAUUAAAGUGGCACGCGAGCUGGGUUCAGAACGUCGUGAGACAGUUCGGUCUCUAUCUAUUGCGAGCGUUAGAAGCUUGAGUGGACCUGAUUCUAGUACGAGAGGACCGAAUUGGACGAACCUCUGGUGUAUCAGUUGUAUCGCCAGGUGCAUCGCUGAGUAGCUACGUUCGGAAGAGAUAAGCACUGAAAGCAUAUAAGUGCGAAACUCACCACAAGAUUAGGCUUCUUUUAAGGGUCGUUGAAGAUGACAACGUUGAUAGGCUACAAGUGUAAAGGUAGUAAUAUCAUAGCUGAGUAGUACUAAUUACCCGUAAGCUUUUACUUU
Molecule: ribosomal RNA, 2903 nt
Filed under: Blattabacterium cuenoti STAT
Lineage: Bacteria; Pseudomonadati; Bacteroidota; Flavobacteriia; Flavobacteriales; Blattabacteriaceae
Description: bacterial LSU rRNA
Rfam family: Bacterial large subunit ribosomal RNA
Source: RNAcentral